UCUAUGGUCUUGUCUUGUAUGUGUCCAUGUAGAUAUAACCAAUUGUGCGCACACAAAUAUGUUGAAAAAUAAUAUCAGGCAAAACCACUGACUGCGCAUAUUGUAAUUUAUUUUAUUUGUGAGAUCAGUCAGUAUUAGUGAGUAUGUGCAACUCAAAGAGCGAAGUACGUACACUAGAAUCGCAUUGCAUAUAGAUUUCGUUCUAUUGUGUUCCUGUUCAGAUCGUGUUGGAUCGUGUGUGUAUCAUCAUUAACGAAGUGAGUGUAUCGUUGAUAGCUUUGUACAAAACACAUUUUCAAAAUCAUUACAUUAAUCGGUAUAGAUAAUUGUAAAGUUGCACUAUGGAUAAGGAGACCGAAGAAAAUCGAAGAGAUAAUAAUUUAGAUGAAGAAAAACAAAAUAUUUCCUCUGAAUCAUCAGAAAUAGAGGAUUCUGAAAUGGAAAGAUUACGUAGAUAUUUAAUUCAGAAGUUAAGACUUGUUGAUUUGUCAACGGGUAAUCAAAAUGAUCUGCCGCAACAAAAAAUUCUUUGUGAACUUAGCUUAGAUGGAAUUGUCGAGUAUAUUAAAGAAAAGCCAGAUUGCAAAAUCAUAACUAUGGCAGGUGCUGGAAUCUCUACCUCUGCUGGAAUACCAGAUUUUCGAUCUCCAUCUAGUGGACUUUAUCAUAAAUUAGACAAAUAUAAUUUACCUUAUCCACAGGCUAUUUUUGAGUUAGAUUUUUUUAUGAAAAAUCCAGAACCAUUCUUCACACUUGCAAAAGAAUUGUUGCCAGAAGGAUUUCAACCUACAACAAGUCAUUACUUUAUCCGUCUGCUGUGGGAAAAAGGUCUACUACUACGACAUUAUACACAGAAUAUUGAUACACUGGAACGUAUAGCUGGAUUACCUUCUGAGAAAUUAGUAGAAGCUCAUGGAACAUUUCAUACUGGUCGUUGUUUGAAAUGCCGAGCUCCAUAUAUGCUUUCAUGGAUGAAAGAAAAAAUCCUAGAAGAUAUAAUACCUAAAUGUGAAGAAUGUAAUGAAGGUGUUGUAAAACCUGAUAUAGUUUUUUUUGGUGAAAUGUUACCUGAACGUUUUCAAGUACUUGCUGAUCGAGAUUUUGUACAAGCUGAUCUUUUAAUUAUUAUGGGAUCAAGUUUGGUAGUACAACCUUUUGCAUCAUUAAUAGACAGAGUACGAACUACUUGUCCACGUCUGCUGAUCAACAAUGAAAAAGUAGGUAUGCAAGAUCGUUUAUCGCGUUUCUUAGGACUACGACAAGGUUUAAUGUUUGAUACACAAGGAGGACGCGAUGUAGCUUGGCUCGGUGAUUGCGACACAGGCUGUCAACUAUUAGCGGAUAAACUUGGCUGGAGGGAUGAAUUGCGAACUCUUAUACAAAAAGAACAUGAUAAUUUGGAUAUAAAAAAACGAAAUGACAAUUAAUUAGUAAUGGUUGAAUAUUACUAAUAAUUGGAAAAGUCUCUAAAAAGAAAAAAAAGUUAUUUUAUUGACACAUUUUAUUUUAUUUUAAGAAUAUACUACGAAAUUUUAAUUAAGGAAUUACCAAUAACUCACCCUUUCCUAAUCACACCAUUAUUUGAUUUCUGAAUUGUGUAAGAAAUUCAAAUGUAAAAACACACAUGGGUUUUGCGGUAAAAUCAUGGAACAUGGAAAAUAAGAACAUAGAAGAAUAUAUUCUUAUAGAUAAUCUAAAUGUUUUAUUUAUAUUUCUGAAAAGAUCUAUUAUUAAAUAAAAAUAAAAUAAUAUGGUGAUAGUCCAUAUAAUUAUUA
Molecule: RNA transcript, 1775 nt
Organism: Cataglyphis hispanica
Lineage: Eukaryota; Metazoa; Arthropoda; Insecta; Hymenoptera; Formicidae
Gene: Sirt2
Gene name: NAD-dependent protein deacetylase sirtuin-2
Exons: 7
Source: RefSeq, a predicted model, not a curated record